UUUCCGUAGGUGAACCUGCGGAAGGAUCAUUAUCAUGUAAUUCAGUCCCCUUGGCUGUGUUAUAUAUAUACCCACUCUGUGUACCUUCUCCUGUUGCUUCCGCUGGGUGUGUAAUUCGCCCGGCGGAAGGGUAAAAAUAACCUCUGAGUAUUGAUGAAAUCUCUGUCUGAACCGAAUAGAAAGAAAAAUGUUAAAACUUUCAGCAACGGAUCUCUUGGUUCUC
RNAcentral lists this unclassified non-coding RNA (223 nucleotides) under plant metagenome. RNAcentral describes it as "partial contains small subunit ribosomal RNA, internal transcribed spacer 1, and 5.8S ribosomal RNA". The record is from RNAcentral.